CUAUAACUUAUGAUGUUAUAACACUUGUCAUUGGUUCAAUUAUAUAGUACUAUAACUUAUGAUGUUAUAACACUUGUUAUUGGUUCAAUUAUAUAGUACUAUAACUUAUGAUGUUAUAACACUUGUCAUUGGUUCAAUUCUAUAGUAAUAUAACUUAUGAUGUUAUAACACUUGUCAUUGGUUCAAUUCUAUAGUACUAUAACUUAUGAUGUUAUAACACUUGAAUGACAAGUGCUAUAACAAUACUGUUGAACCAAUUAGAAAUGUUAAUCUUUGUCAUUGAAUCUGUAUGUAAUAGAGUUGUUGUUGAAUAUAUGAAGAACUAAAUCAGUUGAUAGCUUACUGACUGAGCUAGUCAAAAGUGAAUUGUAUUUUAAAUUAACUAUCCAUUUGAUUUGAGCAACUAAGACAUCUUUAAAUAAUUUCCAUUUUGCUUCUUUGUUGAACCAGUCAUUCUAAGUGGUUCGAGACUUCGGUGGUUAGCCAAUUAAAAAACCUAAUUUUUACUGAUAAAGUAUGUUGGAAAAUACGUACUUAACUGAUAUUAAUCCAUCAGUCAUGGAAAAAGUGCAAUCAAACAAAAUCGUAUAUUUUUUUUGACUGAUUGUAAGAAGUUCGAUUGUUGAUCGUUUGUAGAAGAUGUUUGAAUCUCUAGUUAAGUUGGUUUUCAACUCUGAGUUUAUCACUUCGUUUUUUAAAAGGAAGUUCAUAUAGUUCUGAUAACGUUAGAAGUCUUCCCCCCCC
RNAcentral lists this long non-coding RNA (744 nucleotides) under Limulus polyphemus (Atlantic horseshoe crab). Its description in RNAcentral is "uncharacterized LOC111083283, transcript variant X2". The record is from RNAcentral. Lineage: Eukaryota; Metazoa; Arthropoda; Merostomata; Xiphosura; Limulidae.